UGAAGGAUAUUGAGUUACCCAAGGAAAAACAAUUGUAGGAGGCCACAGUAGAUGUAAAAUAAGGAGAUCACUGCUAGGACUAAAGGAGAAGAUCGAAGAAAUACUGUUAUUAGAGACUGGUGAGAGCUGAGUCAGACCUAAAGGGGUUCUGAACAGGACCUGAGACACAACUUCUGCAGAAGACACUGUGCCAUUGUUGUCACCCAUUGACCAAUCCAAAGGGAAAAAGUGGUCACAGAGUCCAAAUGAUACAGAUUACAGGAAAGGGAAGUGAUUAAGAAGACGUUGAGUGGCUCACUGAAUUGCCAGAAGACUGGAUACAUUGACUUAGAGAACAGACAAGGUAAAGGAGCCAAGAAGUGUGAACCUCAGGCAUAAAUCAUAGCUUAGAACCCAUUCUGCUGAGGGCAAGACUACCUCUGCUUGCUGAACACGAGAGGCCGUCCUGAACCAUUGUUACUACCUCCAGCAUGCAUCCUCCACCAUUCCUGAAUUUUGUUCUAUUAGAAGCUCUGGGAAUCAAACCUGGAAGAGCUGUGUCUGAUUGGCUAAUCCUAGUUCACGUGUCCUGCUUAGCUAUAACAGAGGCCAAAAAAGCAAGUAUGUAGAUUUUUCAUCCCUCUGUCCCCCAAGAGAUAGAUUCUUCCUACCAAGAUCUACAAAAUAAAGAAUUCUUAAAAUAUA
Felis catus (domestic cat) is the source of this 684-nucleotide long non-coding RNA. RefSeq lists it as uncharacterized. The transcript is spliced from 2 exons. The record is from RefSeq and is a predicted model, not a curated record. Lineage: Eukaryota; Metazoa; Chordata; Mammalia; Carnivora; Felidae.